This 253-nucleotide ribosomal RNA is filed under the name uncultured bacterium. RNAcentral's name for it is "partial 16S ribosomal RNA". It matches the Rfam family "Bacterial small subunit ribosomal RNA", at positions 524 to 776 of the family's 1533-position model. The record is from RNAcentral.
UACGGGGGGAGCAAGCGUUGUUCGGAUUUACUGGGCGUAAAGGGCUCGUAGGCGGCCAACUAAGUCAUACGUGAAAUCCCUCAGCUUAACUGGGGAACUGCGUGUGAUACUGGAUGGCUUGGAUUUGGGAGAGGGAUGCGGAAUUCCAGGUGUAGCGGUGAAAUGCGUAGAUAUCUGGAGGAACACCGGUGGCGAAGGCGGCAUCCUGGACCAAUAUUGACGCUGAGGCGCGACAGCGUGGGGAGCAAACAGG